RNAcentral lists this non-coding RNA (45 nucleotides) under Schistosoma margrebowiei. Lineage: Eukaryota; Metazoa; Platyhelminthes; Trematoda; Strigeidida; Schistosomatidae. The record is from RNAcentral.
AUUCAUCUGACGAGUCCCGAAUAGGAAGAAACGUGCGUCCUGAAU